UGUUCAGGAAUCUGACGGGAGCUCUCUCUGAUACAGAGGAAACCUGCGAUUUACCUUCCUCUUUCUCUUUCCCACAGCAAGUCGCCACACAUCGGCCAGAAUUCUCUGAGGACUCCUUGGGGGCAGUUCUCACAGAAAUCUUGAAAAUCUUUAGAAUCUGUCACUCAUCCCUUUGGACUCUCAAAUUUUCUCUUCUGUCCCACCUUAGGGAAUCCAAUCUCCUAAUUCAAGAGCAGGAGCAGCAACUGGCCUAUCUGCGGCACAAGUUACAGGAAGGGCGAGAAGUGUGGGCCCUGCUGAGUCAGCACCUCAAUGACCUGCUGACACACAACGGCUCUGACGACCACCAAGGGCAGGCCUUCCGCCAGCAACUGGCUGAGGGAUAUAGGCUGGCCAAGCACCUUGCCCACAUACUCGGCCCAGGGAAUAACGAAGAUAAGGAAGAUGAAAAGACACAAGGCACACUCACUCACAGACCUUACAGUGAUUCUUCAUUGUCAUUUGACAGACACGAAAUCUUCCAAACCCUGGAUGCAGAGGGUGAGUACUCCCAC
Molecule: long non-coding RNA, 554 nt
Filed under: Equus asinus (donkey)
Lineage: Eukaryota; Metazoa; Chordata; Mammalia; Perissodactyla; Equidae
Description: lncRNA (ENSEASG00005028666.1)
Source: RNAcentral